GAUGAACGCUGGCGGCGUGCCUAACACAUGCAAGUCGAACGGAGUGAAGCGUUUAAGGCCUUCGGGUCAAAGAGGGGAAGACUGAGUGGCGGACGGGUGAGAAACACGUGGGCAACCUGGCUCAUAUAGGGGGAUAACAGCGAGAACUUUCUGAUAAUAUCACAUACGCACACCCUGACGCAAAGCCGAGGGUGCAAAGAGAAUCGCGAUGAGAUGGACCCUCGUCGGAUUAGCCUGUUGGCAGGGUAAGCGCAUACAAAAGCGACGAUCAGAAGCCGAACUGAGAGGAUGAGCGGCCACGUUGGGACUGAGACACGGUCCAGACUCCUACGGGAGGCAGCAGUGGGGGAUAUUGCACAAUGGGGGGAACCCUGAUGCAGCGACGCCGCGUGAGUGAAGAAGUAUUUCGGUAUGUAAAGCGCUAGCAGCAGGGAAGAUAAUGACGGUACCUGAACGAGAAGCCCCGGCUAACUACGUG
RNAcentral lists this ribosomal RNA (478 nucleotides) under uncultured bacterium. Its description in RNAcentral is "partial 16S ribosomal RNA". It matches the Rfam family "Bacterial small subunit ribosomal RNA", at positions 28 to 507 of the family's 1533-position model. The record is from RNAcentral.